RNAcentral lists this long non-coding RNA (3640 nucleotides) under Triticum aestivum (bread wheat). RNAcentral describes it as "long non-coding RNA (TAES_LNC013607)". The record is from RNAcentral. Lineage: Eukaryota; Viridiplantae; Streptophyta; Magnoliopsida; Poales; Poaceae.
UAAACAAAAAUAUCUCAUAUAUUAAACCAGAUAUGUUGCAUUACAAAGAUCACGAUCCAAAGAUUACAUGAUGUGAAACUAUCUAGUAGUAGCCCAAUUCCCGAGCUUGCAAUCAACUAUAAUGUUUGAAACAUUGAUCAAUACAAUGACAUUCUAUUUAUCUUGUAGUAGCCUCUUUCAUAACCUUGCAACCAAAACUUGGGCCAUGUAUCAUCAGUUUAUCUUGGCAAUCUACAACAAUAAUAAAGCGAGUAACUUAGGGAAAAUCAGGUUAAUAGAGAAGUCGAAUUUGAAGGAGGAGCACCAUAGAGUGGUUGAAGGCCAUGCCAUUAGUAGCACUAUACGCUGUAAAGGAAAGUACUACCCUACAUGUGACAAAAACAUUUGGUCAUUGUUUUCUUAUGAACAAACCUGCUAUAUGUCAGUUGAGUUACCAUAAAAAGAAAAUACUAAUUAGUAAGAAACAAGGUACAUGCCAUAAAUAAAAUAAAUAUCAUGUGCUGACAUACAGGAAACAAGUUUAAACUAAUGAGAACUUGCAUAAAUCAUAGAAAAACUGAUCAAAUUACUCUACUGAAAAGUACAAUGACAAAAAAUCCAUUUCAAGAUUCUAUUCCACAAGAAGUUCACUAGCAUAUUUAUGCUCCACAUGGUCAAAAGAAAACUAAACAAGUAGAGAUGCUUAAGUUAGUGAAUCGUAACAGCAAAAUAAAAAAAUGGCCACUGCUAAUGCUUUCAUACAGCAUAGAUGAGUAUCCACAUGAGAACAUUGCACUGUUGCGAAUCCUAUGUUUCUUUAAGGGAACAUUUGAUUCCUAUGUUCGAUUUCCUGGCUCUAGUGAAUGUUCAUAAAAUAUCAAAGUUAGAAUAAGAUGGUGAAUGUUAUUCAGAUUUGCAAAGAUAAUUGAAUAAUGGCCACAUCACUGCUCCCAGCAAAAUAAAUGAACUACAUAUUAAGGGUAAGCAACAGAAAGUGGUACUUUUCUGAUAUAUUCAGCCCGUACAAACUAUUUCCUGCUGUCUGUUAUAAUUUUCCCUCAGAAUAAUAGGGGAAAGUCCAACUGAUAAUAUGACGGUUCACUUAAACACAUUUCGUUAGACGAAAUAUCUAGCUUUAUUAUUCACUUCAAAACUUUUCGAACUGUAUGGCAUAACACAAUUACAAAAUAAAAUUUGAAAUCAAAUAUAUUUAUAUGAUGUAACGACCGGUACCUCGUAAUAUAUCUCAGCUUGAUCAAACCUGUUCUGAAUAUGAUAGUAUUGUCCAACAUUACGCAAAGUUGUUCCAACCCUACAAGAGGUAGUAAAACAUGUUUUGUGCAGACCAAGUUAACGUAGGGGAUUUAUAUGAAAUAUCAUAAGAAUUGACAAGUGUACGCCAGAGUGAUCAGGAUAUAAUAUUUAGUUCUCUACUAUAGAAAGACACAAGUGUACGCCAUUCUUCCACUCAAACAACAGUUCACACCGAGCAGGCAUAGAUGCAUAGCACGCACCAUGGAAUGGAAACUUAUAUCAUGUUACCUAUGCAUCCCACUAUCCACUCUAUUUUAACCCUAAAAAAUAGCCAUAUGUUCGCUCGUACAAAAUGAACCGAAUCAGAAAAUACUGAAAAAAUGAUAUGGAAAAGAAAUCUAAUCUCAAACUUACAGUACAGUAUAUCAGUAGGUUCAAAUGAUUUCUCCAGGAUUUCAAUUGCUUCGAGAUAUAAUUGUUCAGCUUUCCUAUACAACUCCACCUGCAAUACUGAAAACAGAGGAAAGAAAAGGAAUGACUCUUCAGGCAAAACCAGUAUUUAAGAUAGCUUUAUGAAAGCCCACCACAUGACAGGAUGUGGCCUGGCCUUUUAAAUUCGUGUACUGAAACCAUUGAGUGACAAUGUGUGAAAUGCAACCCAUACAAACCUAACGUACUGGGAAAACAUAGUGAUACAUUAGUAUUUUAGUGCGUGAUGUAUUGAUGCCAAGAAGUCCGGUCAUUCAGAGUUGUUUGGACGAGGUUACUGUGGUGUAAUGGACAAUCACUUGAUAGAAAGCAAAGAUUGGACACUAAUACUGAACCCCCUGCUAGAAUUUACUUCUGUAGAUAAUAGGGUCAUGCAGGGCCGGGCCCAUAGUGGUGCGAACUGUGCGGCCCGCACAGGGCCCAUAAAUUUGAGGGGCCCCAGAAAAUUUACAUGUCUAUGUACAUAUUAUUCCUGGGGUUGGGCCGCGCAUGGAGUUGGGCCUCUGCCCGCUGGCGCGUGACUCCCAGGCCGCUGCUCGAUGCCUCGAUUGCGGGAUGCCAGACGCCAGGGCAUGUUGAUCUGCUCGAUACCUCAAUCUCCCCUAAAAAAACUGAUCUGCUCGAUCAGAAACCAAAGGGCGGUGUCCAGUUCUGCUCGAUCGGUUGCAUCCAGCAUCAAUGGGCGGGCGACACGGUGCAUGCGCAUCCUCCAGACUUCCAGAUCCGGCGACGCCGCAACGGACGAUCGACACGGUGAAAGGUAUAGUCAGAGACAGGAUUAGGAGACGUAGUAUGCUAGAUUUGUCAUUGCAAAUCCAGUAAAGUCCUCAUUGGUUUAAAACUUCGCGUCCAUCGAUAAAUCCUCUUGUGUUCUUGGGUUCUCAGAGGGUUAGAGAGGAAUACUGCUGGCUUUUACUCCUAAUUCUACUCCUAUUAUCUUAAUUUCUGUUUUCUAAUUAACUUUUCGCAGGGAUCAUUAGAGAGAUAGAUUCUUGCAUGAUUGCCUCCUCGAUUAAAGAUCACCGUAUAGCAGUUCAACCGGAUAGGACACGAGACUAGGUGAGUAAGACGGUUCGUCUAAUUGCCAAACAUUGACAUAUAAUCUCCAAUUGAUAUCUGCUGCCAUAUCACUUGAAUUUUUUUUUAUUCUUUGGUAUCUCAUGUUUCAGUACUACAGAAUUUUUAUGUCAGACAAUAUAUCACAUACUCCCUCUUUAAACAAAUAUAAAAGCGUUUAGAUCAUUAAAUGCUCUUAUAUUUCUUUACGGAGGGAGUACUUUAUAAUUGCUCGAUAGUUUAUCUUUCUAGUGAGAUAGGGCCCCAUUUUUUAGUUUCGCACAGGGCCCCGGAUUUUGCCGGCCCGGCCCUGGGGUCAUGCCCUUUGUCUUGACUAAAUCUAUUUGUGGAGACUGCACACUUGGUUUGAACCAUUUCUUCAGAGCAUAAACCUAUAUGGAAAAAAACUCAGCUACAUAUAAAAAUAUAGAUCAGGACAAUCAUUGCUAUAACGACCAUUGUAUACUCCAAAUGAAAAUAGAAAUCUUCUCCAUUAGUCGUACUAUGAAGUACUAACGAGAUUAUGAAGAUCACCUGCCAACAGCUUGGGUGCAUAACACAUUCAGAUUCUUCAUGAAUCGUCAGUGUUGGAGGAGGUAGCCGAGGUAGAGGAUGACAGUCGAAGCCGAUCCGGCGGCAGCAUAUGAAGAUACACGGAGGUAGUGGGCCUAUGAACCCGAGGAGGCGUAGGAGUCGUGCCGCCCGUGCCAACUAGGGUUGCUGUAGGAGCAUGUUCAGGGGCGCCGAGGAUGCUGCGGCGGGGGAGGAUCCGAGGAGACCAGCGGAGCCGACAGUUGAGUGGUGGCGCAGUCGGGGCGGGGGGCAGGGGGCGCCGGAGCUAGCCAGAACCGACCUGCGGCGG